AUCAUAUGUUUAUUGUUUACUGUUCAGCUACUGUGUUUUCAAUCGAUAUUUCAUUCUCCUCACAAACAAUUUAGGAGAAAACUAGGUUUUUAGAAUCGACUGCUACAUGCUAAUAAAGCGAAAGUGAUUUAUUUUUGGAAAUAAUAGACCAAUAAAGGAGUUUCUUUUUUAUUUCAUGUAUGUACAUAUAGGACAUGAUUUACAAAGAUUUACAAGGAAUAUACCUAGUCUACUUUCUAUAUUUCAUAAGGCCACAGCAAGAAUUUGUAGAGGCAUGUCCGAAGAAAUUACUUAACUCCAAUCUGGAUUCAAUAUUAGGAAGAGGAGAGAUGUAAAUCAUUCAGUAAGCCGUGUCACAUCAGCAAACUCAAAACUCAAUAUUUUCUGUUGAUCAGUGUCACAGAAAUCUAACACUGGAAAGCCACACGAUAAAGAAACAGGAGCAGUAAAAUACAGUGUCCUUUCUCUAUGGUAAAAUAUUACUGCCAGGAGUGCCAGAGAAGGGCAACUAAACCACCUGAUGCAAAACCUAUCAAAAUAAUUGAAAAAAAAAUUGUAAAUGAUUAAUCCAUCAUAUAAAUAUUUCCCCAGCAGGAAAUUUCAUAUUAUUUGUGAAAGUAUCAAUAAACAUACUUAAAAUUA
Long non-coding RNA from Coccinella septempunctata (seven-spotted ladybird), 642 nucleotides. RefSeq lists it as uncharacterized. Lineage: Eukaryota; Metazoa; Arthropoda; Insecta; Coleoptera; Coccinellidae. The record is from RefSeq and is a predicted model, not a curated record. The transcript is spliced from 2 exons.